Molecule: long non-coding RNA, 2444 nt
Organism: Vicia villosa (hairy vetch)
Lineage: Eukaryota; Viridiplantae; Streptophyta; Magnoliopsida; Fabales; Fabaceae
Exons: 7
Source: RefSeq, a predicted model, not a curated record
UUGUUCUUCUUCACCCGAUAAACCCCAAUUAAUUUAGGGUUUUCAUCUUCAUCGUUACCUCAGAAAAACUUCUCCAAAUUCUAGCAAUCCGAUUCGAAUUUCGCAUACAAUAUCACGAAAACAGCACCGUUUUGGAUCCAUGUGUUGAUUUGCAGAUUCGAAAAUGACACGGGCUUAUACUAUGAAGGGGAAGAAGCGAAAGAACAAGGAAGUGUCAGGGAAGUACAAUCGUGAAGAAGAUGAAGAAGAACAAGUCCAAUCAAAGAAACCAGCGAUUCAGAGAAGAACCAACGUCGGUAGUUACAAAAACUGAGGAAAGUAGUGAACUUGCAGGUAUUUCAAUUGCUCCUUCAUUUGAAAAACCAGUGAUAAAGCGGGUGUUAUUUUCAUUCUAAUCUUUUCAUAUUGUUAAAUGUGUUUAAGAAUUACUUCUAAGGUUAGAUAUAUGAUUGAUUGUGAACUAUGAAGCACAGACACAUAGACACAAAUUAAACAUAAUCACAAGUGUGUUGUGCGGUUUCGGUCCGCGACACUGACACAUUUUUUCAGAGGCGUCGGUGCUAGAUAGGUUUACAUCAAUGGAUAUUUUUCUCUAGCUAAGUUAUUAUACUUUUUGAUUUAAGUUCUGAUAUAUUUAGCAGAUGCUGCAGUAUAACUACUGCAAGGAGGUUAAUUUCUAAAUUGUACUUCAAUGCUAAUUUUUCCAGCAUUUUGUAUAUUUUGAUAGUCCUAGUUGUAUUUGUUAACAAAAUCCAACUACACAAUCUUCAGGUCCUCGUCGUCGGCCGAAACAGGUAAGUCAAUUCAUCUCUACACAACUGCCUCUAACACUGUCAGUUAUAAUAACUCUAAUCACGUGCGUGUGUGUGUGUGUGUGUGUGCGUAACAGAGAAAAGGUGAAGCUCUCGUUGUUUUUUUGGAUGACCGGGUUUAAGAUUGGUGAUAUUCGUUAAGUGUUGAAUUGAAAAAGUCAGCUUUGGAGUUUUGUGUUUUUGGUAAUAUUCCAGGAGAGGACUCUUCUAAAAUUCUGCAAUGUCCUUGUCUUAGGUGCAGUGCAGGGCAGACUCACUUUCAAUUGUCUUCAACACUAACCUCUUCAUCCUCUAAACCACUCAUGUUCCCAGGUCUGAAGCUUGAAUGGAUGUGGUUGAAAGUUGUUAUGAUGCUGAUCUGAGUUGUUGUGAAUUUGUGAUGAUGAAGGAAAUGGAAGCUACCGUUGUUGACAGCGGCAAUGGAACCGAGACUGGACAUAUCAUUGUGACUACUAUUGGUGGUAGAAAUGGUCAGCCAAAGCAGACUAUAAGCUAUAUGGCAGAGCGUGUUGUAGGACAUGGAUCAUUUGGAGUUGUCUUCCAGUUGUUUUCUAGGUCAAUGAAAUGAGAGAUAGACCUUCAUGCAAAGUUUCUCAAUGUUGAGAAUGUACUUGGCUUACACGAGGCUCUUCGGAGAUAAAUAGUAGCUUUGAUGAAUGUAGAAGGAAUCAAUAGGGAACUUGUUGCAAGCCAUAUCCACAUUACAUUUUCUUUAAUAUUGUUAUUUACAAAUCUGUUGUUGCUAAAGCAGCUGGUAUAAUCCACUUCUAACCCUUUUUUAAAAUUAUUUUUUUCUUUGAAUUUUUUUUCUGAAAAUUAUAAUUCUUUCAAAUAAUUUACCCAAAUUUUGUAUUAUUUCAAGUUGCUAAGUUAUAUGAGUGAAUAAAACAGUGCAUCUGACAAACUGGCCUUAAAGUGUGUAUACCAACCUUGUUUAGUUGAUUAACUUGAAAUUUUGUAUAGCUUUUGAUUUGGCUGAAUAUGAGUAUUUGUUUUUGGCAGUAUGUUUGGAUGGACCAUUGCCUGCUUAUCAUUUCAACCGUGGAUUCGGAUCGGGAGCAAACAGCUGGCUUGUUAAUUUAGAGGGAGGUGCGUGGAUCAUCAAAUUUCAUGGAGAAGGCGAUUCCUUUUAUGGGAAUAAUGAGCAAUAAUGCUCAAGAGAAUCCAGAUUUUUCAUCAUAUAAGUUUCCUACAAAAUGGCUGGCCAUCAAUCUCACUCAGAAUUAUGAUUAUUGUUGUGGUGGUUUGGAGGCCAGAUACCCGUAGGUACCGUAUCUUACUGUUUUAAUCUGAAUGUGAAUCAAGCUAGCUCUGAGGUGAAAAAUUCUGUCUGUUGGGGAUUUCUCAUAAUCCAACUAUUCCGGGAGAGGACGAAGCUAGUAGUCCAGUAAUGAAAGUGAUCAAACAAAUGAAGUUGGCGUCGAUGAAUUAGAUGAAGAAGACCUUAGUAAUAAAUUCUGAUUUGUACUGUUUUUCUUGUUGACUUGGUGUAUCCUUUUAACUUAGGUGGACAAAUGAUCAUUAGUAGCUUGGUUCUUUGAGUCAUUUUUAGUAAUGUGACUAUCUAAAUUCUUGUUACUAACUUUGUAGCAAUUUUUAUAGUAAUAAGUUGUAUAUGAAUUUGUCUUAUUU